AUGACCUACGCGGGAAGAUUAAACUACCAACGGGGACAUAUCUUAUGCUUCACAGAGUUGUGGCUGAACGACGACACUAUCAACAUACAGCUGGCUGGUUAAACACUAGAUAGAACAGCAUUAUCUGUGCAUGUAUUCAAAAAUCUUUGGACGACGUACUUCCACAGGGCUGCCAUCUACAAAGUUCACUCAAAAAGGCUAUAGUUCUGAACCACGUUAGAUUUUUCGUUUUAAUUCACAUUCUCAUCUCUUUUAAGCUUCAAUUGGUUAAUGGCUAAUUGCUCAGUUAUCACUUGGCUCAUGUAAAUUCUGUAGUUUCCCCUCUAAACAUCCUAAGUUCAACAUCCUCAUAGUGUUCACAUGUUUCUCAUGUAAAUGUUGUUGCUACAUAAAAAUAUUAAAUAAACAAUUUAUUUCGGAAAUAUUCAA
Long non-coding RNA from Oncorhynchus kisutch (coho salmon), 429 nucleotides. RefSeq lists it as uncharacterized. NCBI's taxonomy places the organism in Eukaryota, Metazoa, Chordata, Actinopteri, Salmoniformes, Salmonidae. The transcript has 2 exons. The record is from RefSeq and is a predicted model, not a curated record.